This 428-nucleotide ribosomal RNA is filed under the name uncultured bacterium. RNAcentral's name for it is "partial 16S ribosomal RNA". It matches the Rfam family "Bacterial small subunit ribosomal RNA", at positions 354 to 796 of the family's 1533-position model. The record is from RNAcentral.
GUCGGGAGUCUUGCACAAUGGGGGAAACCCUGAUGCAGCGACGUCGCGUGUGGGAUGAAGUAUUUCGGUAUGUAAACCACUUUUGCGGGGGGCGAAAAAAAUGACGGUACCCCGCGAAUAAGCCCCGGCUAACUACGUGCCAGCAGCCGCGGUAAUACGUAGGGGGCGAGCGUUGCUCGGAUUGACUGGGCGUAAAGCGCGCGUAGGCGGUCCAUUAAGUGUGCGGUGAAAUUCGGAGGCUCAACCUCCGUCCCGCCGCGCAAACUGAUGGUCUUGAGAUUGGGAGGGGGAUGCGGAAUUCCUGGUGUAGCGGUGAAAUGCAUUGAUAUCAGGAGGAACACCAGUGGCGAAGGCGGCUUCCUGGCACAAUACUGACGCUCAUGUGCGAAAGCUAGGGCAGCGAACGGGAUUAGAAACCCUGGUAGUCC